UGUGUUUCGUAUUCCGGUCGCCAUGUUUAGCCGGAUUCACUCAGUUAAAUAGAAGAACUGCCUUGUCCUGCUUUCGUCAGUAGUUUUACUCUUUUAUAUGAUUAGUCCAUGUGUGUUUUCAGACCAAGUUAAUUUUUUAAAAUCCCCGUGCCUUUGAUAACAUGUUCAGUAACUCUGGGUAGUAAAGGAACACUUUCAUUCUGUGUUAUGGACCCUCUCAACCACGUGGAUGUCAUGCACCUUCAGGAGUCUCGUUCCUCAGCUCUGGAUCUGUCUGUGGGUUGUAGGCAGGGCCCAUUAAACUCCAUGGAGGCUUUGGAUUUGGUGAAGAAGCCCAGCUGGUGUGGCAUUACCUCAGGGAGCAAGAGCGCUAAUAUGUCCGAGUCUCGGUCCGGUAGGUACAUCACUCGGCCUAGCAAACAGAAUCCACCUGAUCACCCAGAACCAGGAUCAAAGCAUCAUGGGUCAAGGGUUUGCGGGACAUCAUCCCAUGGCUCCUACUCUAUGCCCUUACCCCUGAUCAAUGGAUUGCCGUCCGUGGCUCAGAUACUGUCUCAGUGCCCACCAACAGACCAAGUGUUUGUGGAUGACGCCGAUUACCAUGUGGAGAUGGACGAAGCAUUGACGCAAGCCAAGAGAUGCCGUAAGAAAGCCGACUGCAUGUUAGAAAACAGCACAUUAGGAGGUAGGAUAGCACACAGUGUAUUAGAGACACAUCCACAAGACAUUUUGACCAAUUGUGGUGAAACAUACUUGAGUGACACACUGUCAGGCAUGUCACAAAUUAAGGGCUCAUCAUAUUUACCUCAGGACGCCAACGCUGCCGCAUACACACUACGUUCCACCAGCUCAGCGGUUGAGCAGACUGCCAUUGAAACUCUCGCGUCCGAAUGUACCGGCGCUGAAAAAACAUCUCCAUGCUCUGCUGAAUACAUCUCCAGUGACGAUGACAGUGACAUCAUUGAGGUACCAGUAAGCAACUCCAGAUGCAAGACGCCUCCAAACUGGCGCUCCCGAACUGAAAGUGUUAUUGUUAACGACACAAGCCAUGGAAGACGAAGAACUUUCUCUGCAAAGCAAGAAGUUGACUGUGAUUAUCAAAUAGACUGCUCUCCUAAAAAUGUGAACGUCUACGCAAUGGAUAAACCUAUUUUUGAAGACCGUGACGGUAGGACCGGCUCCGAAUCCAAAUCGCUGCUGUCGUGGAUGGAAUCGGUCUUGAUACCCAUAUCCCCGCAGGAAAGUGAUCAAGACAUGGAUGCUGCUUUUCCCCAAAAUUGCCCAUCUACCUCAGAUGCAGAAAACAUGAGCGUCUUGACGUCUCCGGAGAUUGGGGCGUCAUCUUCGACGACAAGCCGCUCGCGGAAGACUCCGGCCUCAAAGAGUAGGAAGCGAACAAAACCAAGGCCCAAAGCGAAACCCAAACCCAGAGCCAAACCGAAGAAACCAGCUAAGCAGGUGAGGGCAUCACCAGGAGGCAAAUCAGCAGCGAGUAUGGCUAAGAGAAGACGCAGAAAACCUCGGACGUCUGGAACUUCAUCCAUGUUUUCCCCUAAAGAGCCGGAGAUCAAACUCAAAUAUGCAAACCACAAAGAAGAGAAGAAAGAUGCCAGGCUGGACGGCUUCGCACCCUACAUUCACAUGGAGUUCUCAUCUUGCACAAUCGUCAAUUUUAGGGAAGAGGACGAUUAUUCGACAAGGAAAGGGUCACAGCAGGCAGUCUCGGGUGUCAUCCCGAAAACCUCCUGUUUGCAACUGGGCCGUGUUGGCUCCGAUGCCAGGUUUCAAGUCAGGCAUUUCUGCUGCCUGUGUGGGAGGGCUGGCAAUACUGAAGGCCUCGGGGACUUGCAUGGACCGUACUACUCCAACGGAGUUCAGCCCGUCUGUAAGGUCGACAGCAGUCCUGCUGCACAGAAGCAAGAUCCCGACUGCAGCGAUUUGGACUCUGUCUACAGUUUAGAGGAUGGUGCGUCCCAGUCCAUCAAACGGCAAAGGAAGGAGAACUGCUCGGAGAACGUGGAGGAGUCUGGUGUCUGUAGUGAGCACUGGAUACAUGAGGACUGUAGCAUUUGGACCGCAGGCAUCUUUUUGGUUAAAGGGAAACUUUACGGAUUGGAGGAAGCCAUUCGGCUUGCACAUGGAACAGUGUGUUCGCACUGUCACAUGAUUGGUGCCACUUUGGGAUGUUUCUUCAAAGAUUGCCCCAAUAAGUACCACUUCCCCUGUGCCCUGCAGUCAGACAGUGCGCUCAAUGAGGAGAACUUCACAAUGAGAUGCCCGAAGCACAAGAAUAAAACAUCCAGAUUGAGCGUUAGCAGGCUGAAGAACAGAUGACAUUUGGGAGGUGUUGAAAUGUCUUGGAAGAAUGGCAGCCCAACUGAAAGGUAGACUUCAACAGACAUUCGGUAAUCUGGCUGCAAAGUGGAUUCCUGAAGUGUUUACAGAUUGUUCCAUUUGAUUUUGUACUUCACGUGUUUGAGUGUUUACAUGUACUCUCAGGCAGCUGAAUGUCCGGGACUGGAUGUGCUGUAUCUGCACUUGCAGAUGGCCGCUGCCUUUUUGCCUGUCGCUUGAGUUGAAUGGUACCCUGGACAAUGCUGGAUGAUUUUCAUAGCAUUCCUCUGCUUUCUAAACGCUCGAUAAAUUCAUCCUCUGCAGAUUUUACAACAUGAGUGACAUCUUCAUUUCACUGAAGUUUACUCAAGGCCAAAUAUCUCCCUCUGCUUCAGACUGAAUCCUGUAAAGCCCUUUGCAAUGUUAAGGCAAGUUGAUAAUGAGAGCCCCGUUUCAUUUUAAGUUGCAGUACAAGUGCACUGAGCGGAAGUGCUUUUUUUUGUAGUUUUUUUAUACAAAUUCCAGCAUCUCAUUGUUCAUUAAAUAUGUAACACGAACUGACCAUUCUUUAACAGUGGUGUCUUUAUCACAUAAAACUGAAAUGCUGAACGAACUAGUCUCCUCCAGUGGUACCGUAUGCACUAGUAUGUGAACAUAUUUAUUUCUAUUUAUGUUUAAUGCAUAUGUGUAUAUUUAUUUGCCAAUGAACAGCCUCCUUUAAAAAGACAGAGUGUGUUUUAGCACCUUGUAAAAAUGCAGUAAAGGAACAUUAUAAUUUGAUGUUGGUAACAGAUACAGGGUGCUUUAAAUAUGAAUCUGAUUUGAGUUUUAAUUUGAAAUUUGUGGCCUGGGAAUCAAGGGGUCACGGCAUCUGUAGGAUUUUCCAUUUCACCUGAUGCCUUGUGAUGUCUCGAAUUCUGUUUCAAUAAAUGUUUUUAUGUUCUACAUUCCUAA
Molecule: RNA transcript, 3288 nt
Organism: Megalobrama amblycephala (Wuchang bream)
Lineage: Eukaryota; Metazoa; Chordata; Actinopteri; Cypriniformes; Xenocyprididae
Exons: 7
Source: RefSeq, a predicted model, not a curated record